ACUAGCUCUUGCACGUGUCAAGAGCAUGCCAGUGAAGCCUGACUCUGCUAUAUGGGGUUCCUUAUUGAGUUCUUGUCGAACUCAUCGCAAUCUUGAAAUUGCAGUCAUUGCAAUGGAACAUCUAUUAGAGCUUGAACCUGAAGAUACAGGGAACUACAUUCUGCUAGCUAAUAUUUAUGCAGAUCUUGGAAAGUGGGAUGGGCUUGAACCUGAAGAUACUGGGAACUACAUUCUGCUCGCUAAUAUUUAUGCAGAUCUUGGAAAGUGGGAUGGUGUAUCAAGGAUGAGGAAACUCAUAAUAAGUAAAAGCAUGAAAAAAAACACCAGGCUGCAGUCUAAUUGAGGU
RNAcentral lists this long non-coding RNA (346 nucleotides) under Nicotiana benthamiana. RNAcentral's name for it is "long non-coding RNA (NBEN_LNC011172)". Lineage: Eukaryota; Viridiplantae; Streptophyta; Magnoliopsida; Solanales; Solanaceae. The record is from RNAcentral.